AGAACGAGCGCUGGCGGCAUGCCUAACACAUGCAAGUCGAACGAAGCCUUCGGGCUUAGUGGCGCACGGGUGCGUAACACGUGGGAAUCUGCCCUUAGGUACGGAAUAACUCAGGGAAACUUGAGCUAAUACCGUAUGAUGUCUUCGGACCAAAGAUUUAUCGCCUAAGGAUGAGCCCGCGUCGGAUUAGCUAGUUGGUGGGGUAAAGCCUACAAGGCGACGAUCCGUAGCUGGUCUGAGAGGAUGAUCAGCCACACUGGGACUGAGACACGGCCCAGACUCCGUAGGGAGCAGCGAGGUGGGAAUAGUUGGACAAGUGGGACGAAACGCCUAGAC
This 336-nucleotide ribosomal RNA is filed under the name uncultured soil bacterium. RNAcentral's name for it is "bacterial SSU rRNA". It matches the Rfam family "Bacterial small subunit ribosomal RNA", at positions 26 to 388 of the family's 1533-position model. The record is from RNAcentral.